UCCUUGCUGGCUUAGCAGUUAAAGCGUCUGCCUGCAAUGCGGGAGACCUGGGUUCAAUCCCUGGGUUGGGAA
Molecule: transfer RNA, 72 nt
Filed under: Capra hircus (goat)
Lineage: Eukaryota; Metazoa; Chordata; Mammalia; Artiodactyla; Bovidae
Also listed under: 1 other name
Rfam family: tRNA
About the family: Transfer RNA (tRNA) molecules are approximately 80 nucleotides in length.
Source: Rfam by way of RNAcentral